RNAcentral lists this non-coding RNA (24 nucleotides) under Rattus norvegicus (Norway rat). The record is from RNAcentral. Lineage: Eukaryota; Metazoa; Chordata; Mammalia; Rodentia; Muridae.
UGAGCUGCUUUAGGGACCACUGGU